This is a long non-coding RNA of Oncorhynchus kisutch (coho salmon), 2143 nucleotides long. RefSeq lists it as uncharacterized. The record is from RefSeq and is a predicted model, not a curated record. The transcript has 3 exons. Lineage: Eukaryota; Metazoa; Chordata; Actinopteri; Salmoniformes; Salmonidae.
CUUUGCUUCGUUCUUCCUGCUUUCAAUAUAUUUAAGUACAUCCAAACUAGUGAAGAAAGACAGUGAAAUUAGUUUAAAUUAUAAAGGACUUUCUGAGACAGUAGUAGUUUGCUCCCUAAAUGCUUAUGUGGUUGAAAAUGCUGUGUCCUGAUUGGCAGAUCGUCUGGGUGUGAUCGGUCACAAUGUGAUUGAUUGACUGCAGGAGAAGCUGGCUAUCGUGCUGAAGGUCCACAUCUACUCUAAGAGGCCCAAGCUUGAGAAACACCUGCUGUACCCUAACAUUCUGGUGUGUCUGACGGAUAUGAGGACUGUGAAUGAGGAGUAUACCAAACAGGUCCUGCAGAUUCUGGACAUCCAGCCAGACAACUCAUUUGACCCAAUCAUCCUGCAGGUGGUCAGCAAGGACCCCUGAGUCAGCCGCACACAGACAGGCAUCAGCAUGGAUGCCUAAAUCACUUUGACAUCUAGCUAAAUCCUCCAUCCUCAGACUGAUAUAGGAUGGAUGCCCAAAUAAAUGUAACAGGGAUCAACAGAGACAUCUAACCAAGGAUCCAAAGAUCUGUAAAACUGCCUAUGUGGCAAGAAUUAAGCUUUUAUUUAAUUCAAAUAUAUGACUGUUUGUGAAAAUGCCCGAAAAAAAGAGCUAUGCGUUUCAUAUUCAUUGUGUGCACGCUUGUAUGUUUUUUCAAUUUUUAUAUUAGCCAUAAUUCAAUUACUGGUAUGCAUUUUGACAAUUCAAAACAAUUGUCAAAGACUCAUACUUGUUUUUAAAGCACUAAUCCAAAAUCCUCUUAUACAGGAAUGCACAAAGGACAUUGUUCAGUACAUGAUGUGUAUUCAAAGGGAUUUAUCUGUGCCCUGUUCCUACAGAAUUUAAGGAGUGAUUUUGUUUACUGUGAAAAAACACUAAUUGGCUGCUGUAAUCUCGUUCCUUAAAUCUGGUCAAGUGCCUCCUGAUCCGCGAUAGGGCGAAACAUCGCCACUGGCCACCCCAGUGGCACUAGUGUUUUUGUUUUGAAGAAAUGAGCAUCCAGCAUCAUAGUAAAAAAUAUAUAUUACAUGGAAAAAACAUUGUUGUUUGAAGUAACGUAUUUGUUGUUGUAAUAUUGGGAAAUGGACGUGGCAGUUUCACCACUAUGGAUUCCAGCGUUAAAUGUGAGAUAAAAUCAUCAGUCUAGUCCAGGGGUAGGCAACGCUGAACGCUGGUCCCGGAGUGCUGCAUUAACUUCAUGUUUUUCAUUUAACCAACGUGGAAGACCAGGUGUGUUGAAUUUAGUCAAUCAUUGAACUGAUCAAUGAGCUCAGUUGGUCUGGUGUGGUACGUAGACAAAGUCCUGCAGUACCUGUGGCAUCCCAGGAACAGGGUUGUCUACCCCUGAUCUAUUCCAUAUCAAUUGACCCUCAUUGCAGAACUGUGUGUGUGAAAAUAACAAUUAGAAUCAAAGUGUGAUAGAAAAUCUUAUGUGAUGAAGAAUGUUACAAAUGUAGGUACAUGUAUUCUGUGAAGGUUGGGUUGUGUUUUCUUGACAAGAACAGUACAGGUACAUGUAUUCUGUGAAGGUUGGGUUGUGUUUUCUUGACAAGAACAGUACAGGUACAUGUAUUCUGUGAAGGUUGGGUUGUAUUUUCUUGACAAGAACAGUACAGGUACAUGUAUUCUGUGAAGGUUGGGUUGUGUUUUCUUGACAAGAACAGUACAUGGACAUGUGUUUGGCUUUGUGAGUGUUGGGUCAACGUUGUUUUCUGUCAUAAAUGUUUAUCUUCCUGUGUGGUGUAACACUAGCAGACACAGGGCUGCAGUCACACUCAUGGCCAGCACUCGCCACCUUGGACCUCCGCCUUGUGACCAGCACUGCCUACCAAUAACCUCUGGUCUACAGUUCCUCAGGCUGUCCUUCUAUUCGGGUAUAGUAACACAGAUUUUACUCGUCUGAAAUGUACUGAUUGUGACCACACACAAGAUGUCUGGAAAACAGUUGAGACGAGUAGAACUUUUGACCGACAAAAAAGCAUUUGCGUUUGAAUGUCUGUGUGGCCUUAGCCUUACGCUGUUUUGUUGGAAAGCUGUUAUAUGUAAAACAAAUGUGACCAAACAUGAAUUUUAUAUUUAAAUUGUCAUAUCAACCUGAAAUGCUCUAUUGUA